RNAcentral lists this ribosomal RNA (253 nucleotides) under uncultured bacterium. RNAcentral describes it as "partial 16S ribosomal RNA". It matches the Rfam family "Bacterial small subunit ribosomal RNA", at positions 524 to 776 of the family's 1533-position model. The record is from RNAcentral.
UACGUAGGGUGCAAGCGUUAAUCGGAAUUACUGGGCGUAAAGCGUGCGCAGGCGGUUGUGCAGGACAGAUGUGAAAUCCCCGGGCUUAACCUGGGAACUGCAUUUGUGACUGCACGGCUAGAGUGUGUCAGAGGGGGGUAGAAUUCCACGUGUAGCAGUGAAAUGCGUAGAUAUGUGGAGGAAUACCGAUGGCGAAGGCAGCCCCCUGGGAUAACACUGACGCUCAUGCACGAAAGCGUGGGGAGCAAACAGG